GCCUUGCAAAGGGGAGGAGCCUGCCCUCUUGAGCUCUUGUGGUGACCUGGGAAUCAAUGUGUGAGGUGGUGCUAUGUAGCAGGAACCCCUCUUGCUUUGCAAAUAGUUUUUUGUUUGUUUUCCUUUUUGCCCAAUAGAGCCCUGCUCUACUGACCCUUCAAUGUGCCCGUGUGCCUAAAUAUUCCUGGUCGUGUGAAAAGAACCCAGGUAUUAGCUGAACUAAGGAGCACAAUUCUGCAACAUUUUGGCACCCAAACACGGGGCUUGAGAAAUGAAUGCAAUUGGAGAAACUGGUUGUUUUACCAGGCGUUGAUUGGAAAUGUGUGCUUCCCUUUAAGCAGUCAAGCUCAACUUGCAGAACUGAUGGGAACCCCUUGGGAAAACUGGCCUCAAAUGUUUGUCUACACAGUCCACAUACAGGGUUCUUAACCUGCGUUUUUACCUACAUUUUAGACUGACCCUGCUUGUGCCUGUGAACCAACCAACAAUCUCUGGCUGCAGCUCAGAAAGGACAAAAGAGAAUGGAUGGAGUCUUGUUCUGUGGUCCAGGCUAGAGGGCAGUGGCAUGAUCUCGGCUCACUACAAGCUCUGCCUCCCGGGUUCACGCCAUUCUCCUGCCUCAGCCUCCUGAGUAGCUGGGACUACAGGCGCCCGCCACCACGCCUGGCUAAUUUUUUGUAUAUUUACUAGAGAUGGCUAGUGUUAGCCAAGAUGGUCUCGAUCUCCUGACCUCGUGAUCUGCCCACCUCAGCCUGCCAAAGUGCUGGGAUUACUGGCGUGAGCCACCGUGCCUGGCCAGCAUCCUCUAAUUAUUAUUCAUAGUUUGUGAAUUUAGGCCUACGUGAAUAAUAAUAUAAUAUUUACUAUGAUGUUACUAUCUACCAACCUUAUUUUUCUUUUCUAUAAAAUAGGAGCCAAAAUAAUAUUUAUGUCAUACCUUA
Molecule: long non-coding RNA, 941 nt
Filed under: Homo sapiens (human)
Lineage: Eukaryota; Metazoa; Chordata; Mammalia; Primates; Hominidae
Description: p53 upregulated regulator of p53 levels
Source: RNAcentral